RNAcentral lists this ribosomal RNA (207 nucleotides) under uncultured bacterium. Its description in RNAcentral is "partial 16S ribosomal RNA". It matches the Rfam family "Bacterial small subunit ribosomal RNA", at positions 568 to 774 of the family's 1533-position model. The record is from RNAcentral.
CGCGUAGGCGGCCUGCUAAGUCUGGAGUGAAAGUCCUGCUUUCAAGGUGGGAAGUGCUUUAGAUACUGGUGGGCUGGAGUGCAGGAGAGGAAAGCGGAAUUACCGGUGUAGCGGUGAAAUGCGUAGAGAUCGGUAGGAACACCAGUGGCGAAGGCGGCUUUCUGGACUGAAACUGACGCUGAGGCGCGAAAGCGUGGGGAGCAAACA